GAGUUCAUAGCUCAGUGGUAGAGCACUUUCCUAGCAUUUAUGAGGCACUGAGUUUGAUUCUCAGUGCUCC
Non-coding RNA from Ictidomys tridecemlineatus (thirteen-lined ground squirrel), 70 nucleotides. The record is from Rfam. Lineage: Eukaryota; Metazoa; Chordata; Mammalia; Rodentia; Sciuridae.